GACGAACGCUGGCGGCGUGCUUAACACAUGCAAGUCGAACGGAAAGGCCCUGCUUGCAGGGUGCUCGAGUGGCGAACGGGUGAGUAACACGUGGGUGAUCUGCCCCUUACUUUGGGAUAAGCCUGGGAAACUGGGUCUAAUACUGGAUAGGACCAUGCUGUAGGUGGUGUGGUGGAAAGAUUAGUUUCGGUAAGGGGUGAGCUCGCGGCCUAUCAGCUUGUUGGUGGGGUAAUGGCCUACCAAGGCGUCGACGGGUAGCCGGCCUGAGAGGGUGGACGGCCACAUUGGGACUGAGAUACGGCCCAGACUCCUACGGGAGGCAGCAGUGGGGAAUAUUGCACAAUGGGCGCAAGCCUGAUGCAGCGACGCCGCGUGGGGGAUGACGGCCUUCGGGUUGUAAACUCCUUUCAGCCAUGACGAAGCCCUUGUGGUGACGGUAGUGGUAGAAGAAGCACCGGCUAACUACGUG
RNAcentral lists this ribosomal RNA (469 nucleotides) under uncultured bacterium. RNAcentral describes it as "partial 16S ribosomal RNA". It matches the Rfam family "Bacterial small subunit ribosomal RNA", at positions 28 to 507 of the family's 1533-position model. The record is from RNAcentral.